Molecule: small RNA, 112 nt
Filed under: Marmota monax (woodchuck)
Lineage: Eukaryota; Metazoa; Chordata; Mammalia; Rodentia; Sciuridae
Source: RNAcentral
GCCUGGUGGUGAGCUCCUGUAGUCCCAGCUACUUGGGAGGCUGAGUCAGGAGGGUCACUUGAACCCAGCAGUUCUAGACUAGCAUGGGCAACAUAAUGAGGCCUGGACUCUU